GACGAACGCUGGCGGCGUGCCUAAUACAUGCAAGUCGAACGCGAGCACUUGUGCUCGAGUGGCGAACGGGUGAGUAAUACAUAAGUAACCUGCCCUAGACAGGGGGAUAACAGUUAGAAAUGACUGCUAAUACCGCAUAAGACCACAGCACCGCAUGGUGCAGGGGUAAAAACUCCGGUGGUAUGAGAUGGACCCGCGUCUGAUUAGGUAGUUGGUGGGGUAACGGCCUACCAAGCCGACGAUCAGUAGCCGACCUGAGAGGGUGACCGGCCACAUUGGGACUGAGACACGGCUCAA
RNAcentral lists this ribosomal RNA (297 nucleotides) under uncultured bacterium. Its description in RNAcentral is "partial 16S ribosomal RNA". It matches the Rfam family "Bacterial small subunit ribosomal RNA", at positions 28 to 334 of the family's 1533-position model. The record is from RNAcentral.